CUUGUGCUCUUCUCUUCACUGCAAACAGUGACCUUUGCACAGAUAGAAAAGGUACAAUGUGGGCAGCAGAAAAAUGAGUUUGUGUCAUACGGUUCAUUCAGAAUUUGUGAAAAUAAAAGUGGAAGACAUUUUCAAGAUCACCCUUACAGUUCAAUUUUAAAUGUUCAGGGAAUCUUUUCUUGCUCACAAGUGAAAAACCUGAGGAUAAGUCAUUUAAGGAAAGUCUGUUCUACUUUCAUCAUGUUAUCAGUAAGGUAAAUGAAGAAAUCAAAAUGUAAGUCUGAAAGAAGUAGCCUUUGAAAGCAUCUGAAUUGCACUUCCUCAGGCCAGUGGAAUUUGACAGCUAAUUAUGAGAACUACAGAUAGUACAAAACUCUGAAUUUCUCAAAAUGUACCAGUAAUUGUCUGUGUAGAGAGAACUGGUUACACACAUAAUGGGAAACUCCCAGCUUCCCUUAGGAAAAGUGGUUACAUGGGUGAGCGUCAGGCCUUAUGCUUGGAAUUAUGGGGUACAGGUCUGACCGAAGCCCUCUCAUUCCUGCUUUGUCUUUAGCAGACUGAGAGGAACACUGAGCCCCUCAAAGGAGAGCUCCCCACAGGAAGGAAAAGUCAGCCUAAGAGGGAGCGAAAUCCAUGAAGCUGAGUUGCCAGAAUCCCUCCACAGGCCACCCAAGCAGCGAAGAAAUUCAUGGAGAGAAAGAAAGAAAAGACCCACAGCCCUCCACAACACAGUGAAGAAGGAGCCCCACCUACCACAAGGUUCUUCAUCCUGCUGGGGAAGCCACACAGAGUUGAGACCAAAACGUAUGGAAGGAAGGUAGAAAGGAAAGAAGGAAGGUUUUAUCUGCCUUCCUUUGUUUUCUAUGGAUAAAUGCCAAAUCCCUCAUACUUAAACUUUUCCCCCUUCCUUUACUUUGCCUCCCAGUUUUCUUUCGAAUGAAUGAGUAAAUUGUUCAAAUUUUCUCAAUAAUCUCCCUCUGUAGCUCAUUCCAGUGUUUAAUUACUUUGACAGAAGGAAGGGAGGAAGG
RNAcentral lists this long non-coding RNA (1028 nucleotides) under Papio anubis (olive baboon). RNAcentral describes it as "lncRNA (ENSPANG00000039702.1)". Lineage: Eukaryota; Metazoa; Chordata; Mammalia; Primates; Cercopithecidae. The record is from RNAcentral.